AUUGAACGCUGGCGGCAGGCCUAACACAUGCAAGUCGAACGGUAACAGGAAGAAGCUUGCUUCUUUGCUGACGAGUGGCGGACGGGUGAGUCAUGUCUGUGAAACUGCCUGAUGGAGGGGGAUAACUACUGGAAACGGUAGCUAAUACCGCAUAACGUCGCAAGACCAAAGAGGGGGACCUUCGGGCCUCUUGCCUUCGGAUUUGCCCAGAUGGGAUUAGCUAGUAGGUGGGGUAACGGCUCACCUAGUCGACGAUCCGUAGCUGGUCUGAGAGGAUGACCGGCCACACUGGAACUGAGACACGGUCCAGACUCCUACGGGAGGCAGCAGUGGGGAAUAUUGCACAAUGGGCGAAAGCCUGAUGCAGCCAUGCCGCGUGUGUGAAGAAGGCCUUCGGGUUGUAAAGUACUUUCAGCGGGGAGGAAGGGAGUAGAGUUAAUACCUUUGCUCAUUGACGUUACCCGCAGAAGAAGCACCGGCUAACUCCGUG
Molecule: ribosomal RNA, 490 nt
Filed under: uncultured bacterium
Lineage: Bacteria
Description: partial 16S ribosomal RNA
Rfam family: Bacterial small subunit ribosomal RNA
Source: RNAcentral